AUUGAACGCUGGCGGCAUGCCUUACACAUGCAAGUCGAACGGUAACAGGUCUUCGGAUGCUGACGAGUGGCGAACGGGUGAGUAAUACAUCGGAACGUGCCUAGUAGUGGGGGAUAACUACUCGAAAGAGUGGCUAAUACCGCAUGCGAUCCACGGAAGAAAGCAGGGGAUCGCAAGACCUGUUGCUACUAGAGCGGCCGAUGGCAGAUUAGGUAGUUGGUGGGAUAAAAGCUUACCAAGCCGACGAUCUGUAGCUGGUCUGAGAGGACGAUCAGCCACACUGGGACUGAGACACGGCCCAGACUCCUACGGGAGGCAGCAGUGGGGAAUUUUGGACAAUGGGCGAAAGCCUGAUCCAGCAAUGCCGCGUGCAGGAUGAAGGCCUUCGGGUUGUAAACUGCUUUUGUACGGAACGAAAAGCCCCGGGUUAAUACCCUGGGGUCAUGACGGUACCGUAAGAAUAAGCACCGGCUAACUACGUGCCAGCAGCCGCGGUAA
This 498-nucleotide ribosomal RNA is filed under the name uncultured bacterium. RNAcentral describes it as "partial 16S ribosomal RNA". It matches the Rfam family "Bacterial small subunit ribosomal RNA", at positions 30 to 523 of the family's 1533-position model. The record is from RNAcentral.